Culex pipiens pallens (northern house mosquito) is the source of this 295-nucleotide long non-coding RNA. RefSeq lists it as uncharacterized. The transcript is spliced from 2 exons. The record is from RefSeq and is a predicted model, not a curated record. Lineage: Eukaryota; Metazoa; Arthropoda; Insecta; Diptera; Culicidae.
AUAAAAUUUAUGACCGAUCAUUGUUUUUCACUAAGUGGAUUCUUCAACAGUUUUUCUUUUCACCAAAUCCAUUAAAUUUUAUUUAAAAUCAUACUAGUGGGAACAAGUCAAACAAACAUGUUUUUUCCUGGACGGAAUCCGGCCGCGGUGGACAAAUUGAUCUCUCCGGAGGAACCACCAGGGAACUUUAAUCGGCGUGGAUUCGGCCAUCAUCAGGCAUAAGCAGCUGUCAGUCAAUUAGGUGAUGCGGUGGAGAAAGAGGCAAAGACAAAAAUAAAACAUGCCAGAGCUGCUU